GAAACACAAAAUGGUUAAUUUUGUAAUAGUUAUCAUAUGUUGGAAUAUCCCCACCUCAUUCUAUUUGGGAUAUCCCAACUUAUUCUAUAACCCAACCAGUCAUCAUAAAUUUCAUAAUUACAUGAACUUAUUCUAUAAAUUGAGAGAAAACAUGCUAAAAGAUGGUUUGGUCAUGUAUAACAAAAACCAGUAGAUGCGAUGAGCAAGAAGAGAUAUGAUCACUGUAAAUAAUAUGUUUGGGAGAGUGGACGACCUAAAUUGACUUGGGAUGUGGUAGUAAACAAAUGAAAAUAGUUUAUUUAAUUUAACUCAACAUAUAGCCAUUAACAAAGCGGAAUGACAAAAUAAUAAUAAUAAUAAUCAUGUAGCCAACGUUACUUAUUGGGACACAACACAAGGCUAAGUUUGGUCUGUUGGGCUUAGUUUGGUU
Camellia sinensis is the source of this 430-nucleotide non-coding RNA. Lineage: Eukaryota; Viridiplantae; Streptophyta; Magnoliopsida; Ericales; Theaceae. The record is from RefSeq and is a predicted model, not a curated record.